AAUACCACCCUCAAAGUUGAUACUUUCUUUCAACACUUCUAAUAACUUUUUCAAUGUAGGAAAUGUAUGCUUAACCAGAUGGAAGUUGUAGAUAGUUCGCCUUAUGACUUCUUGGUCAAAACCAUCUACUGUAGAUUUUUUUUGCUAACCUUGGUCGCUUUUUACCCGGUGUUCUGAAAGAAACUUGAUACGCCAAUCUUUUGGAUGCUCGCGGUUCUCUUUCUUUUGAGGUAGAUGGUUGUGGUGUUGCAUCAGCCUUAACAGCCGCCGUUACUUGAUUGCGUAUUUCACAAAGAAUUCGUUGAACACUUCUCUGAGAAACGCCAGUCGCCUCCGAUGUCAAACCGUACAAAUCUUUCAUUGAAAGAUAUUCACCAUCACUGUUUUUAUUAUGAUGCAUGAAACAUUGUACACUAUUUCACGAGAUUGACAAAGUUUUUCCGGAACCAAUUCUUUCCGAAGACAUUUUAUUCUAACCUCCAAAUACAACACAGCGCCGCGCGUCGAUCACACGUGACUGACUGACACUAACAUUUACAAUAACAUCAUGCUGUAUUUAUAAAAAGUAGCAAAAGAAAAACAAUAACUGUCUCCUUCACGCUCAUAAGAUAGACCGCGCGCGAGAGAGACGGGCAGACUUUUCAUGUUGCGUAUGCAGUGCGACGUCACGCCGCGCGCUUAUUCACAGACACUACACAAGCGCAAUGUGUAAAUGUGUUGAUCGCGCCAGCUUUAGUUAACAGACCUGUAAAAUGAGUAACUAUAACAAAUCAGAUACGCAUGCGAACAUAAUAUUUUCGACGAAUUUACUAGGUUUUCUAAGAAAAUUUUGAUGCCCCCUUUAAAUAUUGUUUAUUUAUUAUAUUUAAUUAAAUUAAUUAAUUUAAUUUUUAUCUAUGAGUAGUUAUAUGACUCAUUUAUAAUUAAAAGCACUAGCUUACGACUUAAAACUCCUAAGCCAACACGAUACGGCCGCCAUCACCCUAAUUCAGGGUUCCCUGGUGAACUUGGUGAACAUAAUAAUUACUCAUAAUUAUUUUUGAAAUAACCGUAAUUCGUUUUUUUUUUGUAGAAAGAUCAAAUAACACAAAAUGAAGGGUUUUAUGGAUGUGGACACUUUUCUUAAAAGAGACGAUUUCGAAUUGCUAAUUGAAUUAAGAUGGCCCUGGCAAGUGACGCAUUUUAUCAAAACUGCAAAAUGUAUAAAUUGUGGUUUCCCAACGAUGUUAACUAUGCCUGAACAUUUUGUCGUAACAAAUAACAAUAUGAUUAGAAUGCUUAUUCGCUUUAAUUUUAUUUGGUGCCAACAUUCUUACUACUUACUAAGUUCUAGAGAACUUAUGUCAAUGCCAAUAGAGGUGAUAGAUAGGUGUCAUUUAAUGGGCACUAGCGUGUCGAGCACACGGACUUUAUUAGCUCAUAUUUUGCUUUCAUGAUUUCAGCCAUGCCGUAUAAAAUAGUUCAAACGGUGGAAAAGGGGAAAUCUGUUUUAACCAGCAUUCCGGAUACUUGGGAGGAUAAUGGGAUUUUAAAGUGGCCUAAAAAAACGCUGAAAAAAAAAAAAUGAUAAUAAUGGUCCGGAUAACAGCUGGCUUAAAUCACGUUGUACUGUUACGUUAUACAUAGAAUCAUAUGAAGAAGCAGAAAAAGAAAUAGAGAGAAUGUGCGAUUACUCGGACACCGAACCUUAUGCUGAUACCAAAAAUGAAGACCUAGGUCCAGCUAAACAAAAAAGAAGGCAUCACAAGCUUCAGCCCACAACAUUUCAUAACAAAAACUUCGAUAAUUUGGCUCAAGAGUGUUUAAAGGCUUGAGGGAUGCAGAAUUAGAAAAUUAUUUAAAUCUAAACUAAUCCGACUAAGAAAUAAGUGAUUACGAUGAUGACAUAUUUGAUGCGGAUUUUCAACCCCUGAGACGUGAUCAGCCUUCUUACUCCUCAACAUCUUCGUCAUCUGAAGAUGAAAAUGAACUAGUUCCUCCAGAGACCCAGAUGGUUACUGCUUCGGUUGGAAAUAAAAAUGUCACGCCUGCAGAAUCUCACAUUUCAUGCCGUUCUCGUGGAAAUUCAAGGACUCUAAGCUGCUUACGUGCUCGUGGUCGGGGAAGGUCAUCGCGUGGACGUGGGAGGUCUCAAAGCAUGUCCCAAGAAAAUCAUUCUGUUGUUAUCCAAGAUAUUUCAACUAAUGAGUGGACAGAAGGAGAAUUCAUUCCCAAGUGUAUUCUAUUUACACAACCAGCAUAUUUACCAAUAAAUACAGAGCAUUCGUUCGAGAAAUACGAUUAUCUGCGGCAUUAUAUAAAUGACAGCUUAUUGCAAACUAUUGUGGACAAAUCCAAUGAGAUGUAUUUUGCAAGAAAUGGUCGGUUACUGAAUUCUACUUUAAUAGAGUGGAACAACUAUAUAGCAAUAACAUUAGUUAUGUCAUGCAUCGGAUAUCCACAGCUCAGAAUGUAUUGGGAUACGAGUUUUAGAGAGGCACUCGUUGCUGAUCAUAUGUCAAGAAACAGGUUUUUUACGCUGAGAAAUGCCCUGAAAAUUGUAAAUGAUGACAAUGACAUCCCAGAUGAACUUAAAAAAAAUGACAGGCUAUGAAAAGUACGCCCUUUAAUUGAAAACAUAUUGAAAGGAUGUCGAACUGUUUCAAAAUCACGUGAGCUUUCAAUUGACGAAAUGAUUAUCCCAUUCACAGGAUCAUGUGGCAUGAAACAGUAUUGCCCUGGAAAACCGAACCCAGUCGGGUUGAAAACUUUUGUCCUUGCUAACCCUGAUGGGACAGUAUGCGAUUUUCAUAUUUAUCAAGGAUCUGACACGUACCCUACUUAUGCUAAUACAGUAUUUGGCCUAGGAGAGAAGGCUGUACUUACUUUGACUGAAACACUGAUACCUGGUCAUAUCAUUUAUUGCGAUAGAUAUUUUACCAGUGCAAAACUAAUUCUUGAAAUGCGAAGAAGACACUUGAUGGUUGCUGGAACCGUAAUGAAGAACCGGAUUCCUAAAACCGCGAAACCGAAUUUAAUAGACGACAAAGAUCUCAAAAAGGCAAAAAGAGGCGAAUGGCAAGUUUUAGUGAACGCAGAUAAAGAAUAUGCUAUACAGCGGCGGCGCGUCACAAAUAUUCGUGGGGAACCCGGAGCUAAUUUUGCUUUCCUUUUCUCCAUGAACCGAUCGUGAAAGUACUCAACGGGCUGAAAUUAGACAAGCCGGUGGGAAUCGAGUUCUUUGAACGAUCCGCCACUGAUGCUAUAACAAAAUGGC
Molecule: long non-coding RNA, 3256 nt
Organism: Cydia pomonella (codling moth)
Lineage: Eukaryota; Metazoa; Arthropoda; Insecta; Lepidoptera; Tortricidae
Exons: 3
Source: RefSeq, a predicted model, not a curated record